UACGGGGGGGGCAAGCGUUGUUCGGAAUUACUGGGCGUAAAGGGCUCGUAGGUGGCCAACUAAGUCAGACGUGAAAUCCCUCGGCUUAACCGGGGAACUGCGUCUGAUACUGGAUGGCUUGAGUUCGGGAGAGGGAUGCGGAAUUCCAGGUGUAGCGGUGAAAUGCGUAGAUAUCCGGAGGAACACCGGCGGUGUAGACGGCUUACUGGACCAUAACUGACGCUGAGGCGCGAAAGCGUGGGGAGCAAACAGG
RNAcentral lists this ribosomal RNA (253 nucleotides) under uncultured bacterium. RNAcentral describes it as "partial 16S ribosomal RNA". It matches the Rfam family "Bacterial small subunit ribosomal RNA", at positions 524 to 776 of the family's 1533-position model. The record is from RNAcentral.